CUCCACCAGCUCUAUUGCAGGAAGCUGCCCUGUCCUGACCAGUCCUGUCCGGUUCUGUCCUGUCCAGUCCUGUCUGCCACCAGCCUCAAGUGGGGACCCCAGCCUGGGAGCCAACAGAGUGGUAUAAAAAGAACUGGCCUGUGCAUUGCAAGUCCUGGAGGAGCCCCAGAAGAAGCCUGCAGCAAGAGAGUUCAGGAGAGCUUGUGAUUGGAUAGGAUGUGAAGAACCCUUAAUGGUCCCUGAUGCCCUCCUUGUGCAGAGCUCACCAUUCCCCGAUGUGGGGUCUGACGUCCUUCGCCAAGCUCUCAUUUCUGCUCAAUCACAGUGACCAACUGUCACGACAUUCGUAGGUUUGGUGAGAUGAACCCCAAGACACCGGUUUCAGGGACAGAG
Non-coding RNA from Peromyscus maniculatus bairdii (prairie deer mouse), 393 nucleotides. NCBI's taxonomy places the organism in Eukaryota, Metazoa, Chordata, Mammalia, Rodentia, Cricetidae. The record is from RefSeq and is a predicted model, not a curated record.